UAAGAAGUUGUAUAACCUCCCCUAAAUAGUGAUGUAAUGGACUUUUCCAUCUUGAACCUUCGAUUGCUGACUUCAUGCGUGUUUUAAUGGAGUACCAUACAUUUAAGUAUUUAUUGAAGAGAAUAAGACUAGGAAAUGAGGAAAUAUAAAGAAGAUUGGUUGCGCAAUUAAGUGCAUUACAAAAACACAGACACACUGAAAUAAGUUCCGUCUUGUUAUUGAGAUACCUAUGUUGGAUAGGUCAGAAUAGCCGAAGCAAGCAACACUGGAACCGUUCAAGUAAGUAAACGAGUUAAGCUUUGUUUUCUUUUAAAUUGAAAUGUGGAUAUUUUGCUUAGAGUCAAUAUGACUAUGUUAAACAUAAAUACACCAAUCAACACCGCGAAUGCUUUUUUUCUAAUCGGGAAUACUCCCGAAAAGCAAUCUUAAACACAGUUGACUAUUGUCAACAUAAAUAUACAUGCAUAUAUAUUAUGUAUAAUUAUAUAUUGUAGUGACGUAAUUUUGUGACGUCAUGUCCAAAUAUCACGAGAUUAAGAUGGCGGACAAAAUAAAACCAACGCAUUCUUCUACAAGAGCUUCAGAGGGGGCACUGCAAAUUUAAUGAUCACCUCCACAGAAUUGAAGUCAAAGACUCACCCUGGUGUUUAUGUGGAGAACCUGAAACCAUAAAUUUCUCAUUACCUGAUUGACUGCAAUCUCUUCUGUGCUGAAAGGGAAAAAAUGUUCUCUAAGUUAGAGGUUAGAGUCUAACCUCAGGCUCAACAACAUAACUGGAAUACCGCACCAAGAGGUCAAAGAACACCUUCUCCUCACUUCUGGACAAGAUGAUCCAUGGGAAGAGGAUAGACAAAUGCUGAAGAAUUAAGUGCCUUCGUCAUAAAUACGGAACAGUUUUCCAAUUGAUAACUCUGCAAUGUGAUGUCCCUAAAACAAAUGUACCUGUGAGACUUUAUUUGUUGACAUUUACUGGUGAACGAGUCCUACCGGAAGUUAUUGCGGCUAAUUGAGGCCAAGACGAAGACGGCAUACAUAUUAUAUCGGAAUAUACAGACUGAAGAUGACAUAGAGUCAUUGCAGUUAGAGGUAAUUGCAAGUACUGAGGAAUCCUCAACAUCACUUGAGUUCAAAGAGUUUAAGAAAACUUAUGAUGAGCUGAAGGGAGCCUUUGGUCGAUUCAAAGAGGAACCCUUAAUGAGAGAAGACUUCAGUGAUGGAGUGGAGGUGUGGGUUAAGUGGGAGGAAGACAGGCAGACCAUUUGAGUAUUACAUAAGGUAUUUGACGGACAAACACAAGUGUAGAGUAGGGAAGGCUUCACCGAAGAAAAAUUGAGAGGCACAGACAGACAUCAUUAGAUUUGUAUUAUUGUUAUUGUAUGGAGUAUAAUUAUACAAUGUACAUAUAUAUGGUUCUUUCUUCACAUUGUGCCUAUCUGUAUAAAAUGUUGUUUUUCUUUUUGGUGGCAAGUAAACAGAAUAUAGAAAUUAUAUCUGUUAAAUUUAUAUAUUUAUGAGCUCAUCUGAUUUUUAAAAAAAAUGACGAGCUAUUGUCGUUGUUGGUUAAGUUUUGCGUUUUGGUCACUAACACUGUUGGAAUCUAUCAAAGCUAUCACUUUGAAACUUUUGCGACUUGUUCAUCUAAUACCUUUCUUCACAUUGUACCCUAAAGAUGCUGAGUCUUACCUUUUUGGGGGGGAAAAACAUAAAUUUUGAUGGAUUUCGGUUGAUUUUGAGAAUUGGACAUAGCUUCUUUAAUUUUUGUUGAAUUUAUUUCAUUUUUUUUCUAGACAAUAAAUGGAUAAUGCCUUCAAUAUAUUGAACAGGUUUUUGAGUCACACAUUUGGAAGGGUAUGGGGAGGAUGGGGGAUAUUUUAGUAUUUUUGGAUUUGUAAUUAUUAGCAAGUCUAUUUUUUAUGUUUUGUGCUUGGGUCACUUACAUGCAAACUAUCAAAGCUAUCACUUUCAUACUUUGGAAUACCAUUUCACUAUCAAAUGUACAAUAUGAUAUAUAAAUAAAUCGUAAAAGCAUAAAAUCAGAUGAACGUAUAGCACCCACAGGCGGAGCUCUUGUUUAAUUCUGCAGCUAAUUGUAUAAAACUGGUUAAGUCUUUGCUAUGGUUAAAAUUGCCCAAAAUGUUUAUUGAUUGGUCAAUAUUUUUCAGAUAAUUAUUAUUUACCAAUGGAAUAAUUUAGAUUUGCACAGUAGCCUAAAGAAACCAGUGGACAACUUAUCCAAGUUUUAUACAAUUAGCUGCUGCAGUCUUAUAUUAAAGAUAAUGAUUUUGAUGUUUGUUUGAAUCAAUGCUGCAGAAUAUAUAAGAUAUUGUGCUUCAAUAAGAUCAUCAACCUUUAGUUGCAAAAGUUUAUUUUAUUGAUGCACUUAUGACACAUAUACAUACUGUAGAUUAAUGAAAUAGGGCAAAGUAAUUGUAAUUUGUUAAAUUGAGCUAUUCUUGACAUAUAACUGAGCUGUUAUAAAAGAAAACUAUGUCAUAAAAUUGAUGUUGUAUUGAUAACAUAUGAUUUUUUUUGUAUAAUACAUAUUUAGUUAACCUUGUAUUUGUUAAGUUAUAAUCAUGCUACAGAUAAUUAUUUUGCCGUUUGAAUAUGACCACUUUUAGAGCAGAUCAGGUUAUAGUUUUACAAACGAUAUAUCAGCUGUCCGGCGGGCGGCCUCCAAAUUAUAGUCUUAUCAAUUAUCAAGAGGCCUUUGUCCAAUCUUCUCCAAAUUUGGUCAGAAUGUGCAAGCGCAUAAUAUCUCAAACUUAUUUGAUAAACAGCUAUUUCGCUUCAGUUGCUCAAGAGAAAACAACCUUUAGUUAAAGAAAUUACAUCAAAUUACAUGAUAAUUGUUUUUAGAAAUCUUUGUCCAAUCAACACCAAAUUUGGUCAGAUGUGUAUGGGCAUAAUAUUAUUAUAUGGGACAAGGUUUAUAUCAAGCAGCAUUUUUUGAUUCAUUCAAGAUUCAAUUACAUUUAAAAAAAGUAAUUGCCUAAAAUUGGUCUUGUCAUAUCAUUUACUGUAGAAGCUUUGUCCAAUCUUUACCACAUUUGUUCAAAAUGUGUACAGGAAUAAUUUUUUGGACAAAGUUUAUUAACCAGCCCUAUCCCUUGAGUCACACAAUUAUCAUGCUUUGAUUAUAUAAAUUUACUGAAAUAGGAAUUGUCUGAUCAAUAACUUAACACGCCAUCUCCAAUCAUCACCACAUUUAGUCAGAAUGUGUAUGGGCAGAAUAUCUUGAUCAUAAGCUUGUCGCAUCAGUCACUUUAGAGAGUUUGCAGUCUGCUCUCUAAAUUUAGCUAAACAGACAACCAUUUAUUACUAAACUGGUUAUUGUGAAAUGAAGACAGUCAUAUUUUGUGACAGAUGGAGCUUGUGUUGUUUAUGUUUAUGUAAGAAAUAAUUUAUUAUCUAAUUGUUAUCUGAUGGCCUUUAUUCCUUUUUCCUUGCGGUGC
Long non-coding RNA from Mya arenaria, 3455 nucleotides. RefSeq lists it as uncharacterized. The record is from RefSeq and is a predicted model, not a curated record. Lineage: Eukaryota; Metazoa; Mollusca; Bivalvia; Myida; Myidae. The transcript is spliced from 5 exons.